GUUAGUGCUCUGUGGGUGGAUGAGGGGAAGCGGAGAGCAGGAAUGGCAGGAGAGCGGUGAGAGACCUCCGUCCCAGUGAGGAUGACAUGUUCUAACUCAGGAAAUGAAUAGAUGCUCUUGCGAUUGAAGAAAAAUCUACGCUGGAGGCAGACAGGCUGGCAGAUAAGGAGACUGAAGCAUCUAGAGUUGGAGUAAUUUCCACAAGAUCACAGAGGCAAGAUUUCACUCUGUCACCCAGACUGGAGUGCAGUGGCACAAACAUAGCUCACUGAAGCCUCAAACUCCUGGGCUCAAGAGAUCCUUCUGCUUCAGCCUCCUGAGUAGCUGGGACUUCAGAAUCCCAGUCCUCUCUCUCUCACUGACCCCGAAGAUAAGCAUUGGAAAGGGGAGCUUUGGGGAAAUGAAUCUGCCCUGUCAUCUGCGUAUAGAGCUAAUCUUAAAUCCCAACUGCCAAAUGGAUCCUGAGGUGUCAGAAACUCUCCCGAGAUAAGGGGGCUUCUAGCAACCAUCUGCAUUCUGGACCCAGCCGAAGAAGGAGGAGGAUAAGGAGAGAGAAAAGAAGAAUAAGAGGUAGAAGAAAAAGAAGAAUCAUGGAGACUUUUGAAUGCUCUUUGUCAGAAUCUCCAAAAUAUCUCAAGUCCAUUAUCUACUAGGAGAAUUCCACCUUAAAACAAGCUGAAUGUCCUUAUGGCUGACAUCUCAGCAUGGAAAAGUUUUGCUUAAGCAAUGACACACUGCAGUUGGAUCCUUCUCACCCACAUCUGGAAGCCACAUGUCAGCGGCAGCUAUAUAAAACGGUCAGACCAGCAAUCUUAGAGUGACAUUGUUUGCCAAAAUCCCAGGCAGCAUGGACCUCAGUCUUCUCUGGGUACUUCUGCCCCUAGUCACCAUGGCCUGGGGCCAGUAUGGCGAUUAUGGAUACCCAUACCAGCAGUAUCAUGACUACAGCGAUGAUGGGUGGGUGAAUUUGAACCGGCAAGGCUUCAGCUACCAGUGUCCCCAGGGGCAGGUGAUAGUGGCCGUGAGGAGCAUCUUCAGCAAGAAGGAAGGUUCUGACAGACAAUGGAACUACGCCUGCAUGCCCACGCCACAGAGCCUCGGGGAACCCACGGAGUGCUGGUGGGAGGAGAUCAACAGGGCUGGCAUGGAAUGGUACCAGACGUGCUCCAACAAUGGGCUGGUGGCAGGAUUCCAGAGCCGCUACUUCGAGUCAGUGCUGGAUCGGGAGUGGCAGUUUUACUGUUGUCGCUACAGCAAGAGGUGCCCAUAUUCCUGCUGGCUAACAACAGAAUAUCCAGGUCACUAUGGUGAGGAAAUGGACAUGAUUUCCUACAAUUAUGAUUACUAUAUCCGAGGAGCAACAACCACUUUCUCUGCAGUGGAAAGGGAUCGCCAGUGGAAGUUCAUAAUGUGCCGGAUGACUGAAUACGACUGUGAAUUUGCAAAUGUUUAGAUUUGCCACAUACCAAAUCUGGGUGAAAGGAAAGGGGCCGGGGACAGGAGGGUGUCCACAUAUGUUAACAUCAGUUGGAUCUCCUAUAGAAGUUUCUGCUGCUCUCUUUCCUUCUCCCUGAGCUGGUAACUGCAAUGCCAACUUCCUGGGCCUUUCUGACUAGUAUCACACUUCUAAUAAAAUCCACAAUUAAA
Long non-coding RNA from Homo sapiens (human), 1647 nucleotides. Ensembl annotates it as long intergenic non-protein coding RNA 970. Lineage: Eukaryota; Metazoa; Chordata; Mammalia; Primates; Hominidae. The record is from Ensembl.